CUCCCAUUUAAGAUACCCCAUGUCACAAAAUCAUCUAGUAUCAUGCAGAAAAAAUGUCUAAAGAACCAAAACAGAUUCAAUGCAGUGACGGCAGAAAGUGUAUGGGCAUGAAGAUUCAAAGAAAAAGAUGCGGCCGUUGAAAGAUUUAUAUGCUCCUUUGCUCCAGGAGAAAUCUCUUGAGACCUCACUCAGAGUGCACAUCCUUACCACAGUACAAGGCUAAUGAGCUUGGAUCGAUGGUGUUCUCAGCCCAGUGGACUGAAAACAAUAGAUUGAAGAUUUGUGGCAACCCUGUGACUACCAACUCUAUUGAAACCAUUUCUCCAAUAGCAUGAGCUCACUUCAGGUCUUUGUAUCACAUUUUCAUAAUUCUCACAAUAUUUCAAAUUUAUUAUUAUUAUUA
This 403-nucleotide long non-coding RNA is filed under the name Homo sapiens (human). RNAcentral describes it as "HSALNT0367715". The record is from RNAcentral. Lineage: Eukaryota; Metazoa; Chordata; Mammalia; Primates; Hominidae.